UCUGAGUGCUUAGCACAGUGCCCAAAGUGCCCAGCUUCUGACACUUAAAGGUUAUCCUAAGGUCACCAGAAUGUUGUGAACGGAAUCAAAACAAUGGACACUAAAUUCUUUCUCCAUGGCUAUGUGAUCUCCUCAGAAGAUUAGAUGAUGGAAGUCCUGGAGACUUUGAGAGAACUGACCUUUACCAGUAUUGCUACUACCAAUUAACAUGGUUUCCCUGUUGACUGGUGCAACCAAGUAUUUGCUUAGUGUUUAACAUACAUAGAAGAUAACAAGCCUUAUUUGGGGAAAACUAUUUGUGAGAUACUUCUUCUGGUCUACCAGAAUUUUCUCUAAAGUUGGGUCUUGGUUUCCACUUAGCCUAAGCAUAAUAAUACACAAGGGUGUAGAUGACUGUGCUGAGUGCUAUGAAGAAACAAUAGAAGGUGCCAUUAGGGAAUAUGGAAAAACCUGAUUUAGUCGGAGGGGUGAGAUGAGCCAAGAUCUUCCUGAAGUGGUAACAUUUAAGCUGGGACCAAAAGAACGAGUAGGUGUCAGUAAGGCAAACAACUCUACUUGGAUUAACUGACCUUAUUUCAACUUUUCAAACAUAAAGCAAGCUCCCUGAUCAGGGUAUUCACACAGGCUACUUAACAUUGGCUUGAAAUGCUGGUCCUCUCCUGGUUUGUGAUUAUUUUUGUAAUUAUCCAUUUAAUAUUAGCCUUCCCUAGUAAUCUGCAAUCAGGAGUCAUAUUUCUUUCUUUAUCAUCUGGAUUUGAGUAAUAUUGAAUUACUUUGUGAUUCCUCUUCUUUGUCCCAUUAGUCACUGUCCAUCCAACAUCUCCUUUGAAGGGAGUGAGUUAAUGUACUGGUAGCAGAUCCAAUGGCAAAUGAAUGAGAUUUGGCUUGAAUAUUUUUCUGUGCUGCCCAAGUUCCCUUUAAUAAAAUAAUUUUGGUGGU
This is a long non-coding RNA of Globicephala melas (long-finned pilot whale), 939 nucleotides long. RefSeq lists it as uncharacterized. The record is from RefSeq and is a predicted model, not a curated record. Lineage: Eukaryota; Metazoa; Chordata; Mammalia; Artiodactyla; Delphinidae.